UUCGGUCCGCUGACGAGUGGCGAACGGGUGAGUAACACGUGGAGACCUGCCCUGGGGUACGGGACAACAGUUAGAAAUGACUGCUAAUACCGUAUACGUCCUACGGGAGAAAGAUUUAUUGCCCUUGGAGGGGUCCGCGUCGGAUUAGCUAGUUGGUAAGGUAACGGCUUACCAAGGCGACGAUCCGUAGCUGUUCUUAGAGGAAGAUCAGCCACACUGGGACUGAGACACGGCCCAGACUCCUACGGGAGGCAGCAGUGGGGAAUAUUGCGCAAUGGGGGCAACCCUGACGCAGCGAUGCCGCGUGAGUGAAGAAGGCCUUCGGGUUGUAAAGCUCUUUCAGUAGGGAAGAUUGUGACGGUACCUACAGAAGAAGCUCCGGCUAACUCCGUGCCAGCAGCCGCGGUAAUACGGAGGGGGCGAGCGUUGUUCGGAAUUAUUGGGCGUAAAGAGCACGUAGGCGGUUUGAUAAG
Molecule: ribosomal RNA, 473 nt
Filed under: uncultured Magnetococcus sp.
Lineage: Bacteria; Pseudomonadati; Pseudomonadota; Magnetococcia; Magnetococcales; Magnetococcaceae
Description: bacterial SSU rRNA
Rfam family: Bacterial small subunit ribosomal RNA
Source: RNAcentral